CUAAGUUCAAUUACCAGCUGCCCUUUAUCAUUGAACUUAAUGCUUUCUUCUCAUAGUAGAAUUAAGAGGAAAGUAAAAUAUUUUUUGUACCUAUAUCUUUAUUAUAUUUAGACAAAUCACAGAGUGAGAGAGUAGGGGUUUCAAGAACAAUAGGAGAGAGACAGGGAAGAGAGAAAGAACUGCUUGUGGAAAUACAGAAUAUCCCACAUUUUCAAUGUGGAAAGUGUAUGAGGGUCUGAAAGAAAAUACUCAGUUUUUUUUGUCCUGUAAGAGGCAGCAUUGACAAAUGUGUACCAGAGUUUGGGUACAUUUGAGCCAGUUCUUCAGAAUCGUGGGGUGGGAAAUAGAACAAAAUUAUUUACACCUAAUUCUAGGCAGAUAAGUGUGCUUCAAGGAAAGGCAAGGGCCUGGCUAGAUUCUAGAUGUUUUUAAACUGGAGGCCAGAGACAGCUUUAGGGAGUCUAUAUACAGGCACAAAUUUAUUUCUUUUAUAUUCUUCUUGCUCUUUGAAAACGGUCUUUAUGCAAAUACACACUAUAUAACCAAAGUUUCUCUUUGUUCCAGGCAGGAGUAGGGCUGAUUGGAGCCAUUGUACAGUGUCGGGAACAUACCAGGACACUGAGAAUAGUGUCAUGUCAUAAGGACCCAGAGCAGAUGGACCCUGCUGUGAUGCACAAAGAGGACCACGCAAGAUAUGAUAAAGAUCUACAUCACUG
Molecule: long non-coding RNA, 716 nt
Organism: Homo sapiens (human)
Lineage: Eukaryota; Metazoa; Chordata; Mammalia; Primates; Hominidae
Gene: LERFS
Product: lncRNA negative regulator of fibroblast-like synoviocyte migration, SYNCRIP interacting
Source: Ensembl